CCUACGGGAGGCAGCAGUGAGGAAUAUUGGACAAUGGGCGCAAGCCUGAUCCAGCCAUGCCGCGUGCAGGAAGAAGCAUCUAUGGUGUGUAAACUGCUUUUGUACGGGAAGAAACACUCCUUCGUGAAGGAGCUGACGUACCGUAAGAUAGAUCAUCCC
RNAcentral lists this ribosomal RNA (159 nucleotides) under uncultured freshwater bacterium. Its description in RNAcentral is "partial 16S ribosomal RNA". It matches the Rfam family "Bacterial small subunit ribosomal RNA", at positions 338 to 496 of the family's 1533-position model. The record is from RNAcentral.